This is a long non-coding RNA of Nothoprocta perdicaria, 474 nucleotides long. RefSeq lists it as uncharacterized. NCBI's taxonomy places the organism in Eukaryota, Metazoa, Chordata, Aves, Tinamiformes, Tinamidae. The record is from RefSeq and is a predicted model, not a curated record. The transcript has 3 exons.
ACUAAGGUCUGUAGUGGGUGAGAUAGAUCAUUCACACCAUAUGUGGCUUUAUAGGAGGAGAGACGAACCUGUGGCUACAAGCAUCAUGAAUAACUGCAGUGCAGUAGAAAAAGCCCAAAUGCACAAAAARCAGUAUUUGUUUUGGUCUCAUUAAAUAUAUCCUUCCCUGCAGAGGGUAAACCACAGUYACUUCACGUAUCUCCAGCUCUUCGUUCCUCAUAGUUGUCUUGCAACACCAGUCUGGUCUGACACUGAUUGCCAGGAGCCUGGAAGAUCCUGUUUGCAAACAGCAUCAACAACACAUUCUGAAUAUGACCAAAUCCAGAGGGAUUUGAGAAGAGCCGUGCUGAAUCCUUCCUGAACUCACCAUAUCCCAGUCCUACUGUUCCCAAGAGUGGCCACUAACAGGCUUCGGAGUGAGAAAUAGGAUGCUGAAGCAGGAAAGGCGCUCCUGCUGAGGAAGAGGAGGGAGAA